GAUGAAGAACGUAGCGAAAUGCGAUAAGUAAUGUGAAUUGCAGAAUUCAGUGAAUCAUCGAAUCUUUGAACGCACAUUGCGCCCGCCAGUAUUCUGGCGGGCAUGCCUGUUCGAGCGUCAUUACAACCCUCAGGCCCCCGGGCCUGGCGAUGGGGAUCGGCGGAGCCCCCCGUGGGCACACGCCGUCCCCCAAAUACAGUGGCGGUCCCGCCGCAGCUUCCAUCGCGUAGUAGCUAACACCUCGCGACUGGAGAGCGGCGCGGCCACGCCGUAAAACACCCAACUCUUCUGAAGUUGACCUCGAAUCAGGUAGGAAUACCCGCUGAACUUAAGCAUAUCAAUAAGCGGAGGA
Molecule: unclassified non-coding RNA, 352 nt
Filed under: soil metagenome
Description: partial contains 5.8S ribosomal RNA, internal transcribed spacer 2, and large subunit ribosomal RNA
Rfam family: 5.8S ribosomal RNA (bases 1-120)
Source: RNAcentral